RNAcentral lists this long non-coding RNA (1375 nucleotides) under Capra hircus (goat). RNAcentral's name for it is "lncRNA (ENSCHIG00010012960.1)". The record is from RNAcentral. Lineage: Eukaryota; Metazoa; Chordata; Mammalia; Artiodactyla; Bovidae.
AUGUUCACGACGCCAACCGCCCCACACUCCCAGCAAGAAGGUCCUCCGAGAGGACAAGGUCCCCCCAGAGAGUCAUCCGCACCCGGGGCAGCAACCGAGAUGAGGGAGAGGCAGGGCAGCCCGGGGCAGCCACAGCCUGCGCUUUCUUCUGUGGAGCCCUUCUCUGUUCACUCACCACCUUCAAAAGCUAAGAGACCACAGGACAGAGGACCGGACGCGGACAGCAGGGUGUCCACAGUCUCUCCCUCGGGACAGCUCAGCCCUCCUCCCGCCGUCGUUCCCAACACCCAGCAGGGGCCGGGCACGGCACGAGCUCACCUGGAGGACCGAACUGGCCCAGGCCCUCCGUGCGCCCCGCCCCUGCCGUCUUCCCCACGGCCCCAGGGCCCACGUGCGCCUGGACUGGGAGCCCCACUCUGCGAGGGCAGCGAGAACGGAAUUCCUUUCCCAACAGAAUCAACUAAAUGGCAUACACAGUCCCAACACAGAGCGCGUGUGCGUGUGUGUGUGUGUGCGUGCGUGUGCGUGUGUGUGUGUGUACACAUGGGCACACAGCCAGGAAGGGGAGGGCAGGGACAUGAGCUCUGGUCCAUCCCCAGGCCCUGCCGGGGCUGCAGCCCACAGACGCACACCUGGCCCCCGGCUCCCUCGGCCUGGACACACGCAUAGGCAGCUGCGCCUCGGGUGCGCUGCUCGGGCUCCCGCACGGCCACAGCCCCUCUCGGCAGGAGAGCCUGCGCCCAAGGGAGACGCAGAGUUGGGCGCGCCGGGGAGACAGCACCCUGAGCUGGGAGCCAGCACCUCCCAGUUCCUGUCUCUGCUCCUCCCUGUCUCUUUAAGAAUGAGUCCUAUUCAUCCUGACACUUGGGAUCAGAUCCUCUUACAACACUGGGCUGGCCAGAAGGACUGUGCGUUUCUGUGAUGACCAGGUAAAACCUGUUAUAGCUCGGCUGGGAAGUUUCGAUUCAUCUCCGCAUCCAUCAGACACUGCACCUUCAGAUUUCCCUUUAUUUGGUUGUUAAAAAUUCUGCAAAUGGAAAACAUUCAAUUCCCUGGCAGACUGUGAAAAGGCACGCGCAACAGUUCUUUGCUCAAAAAGAUACAGAAGGUUUAGAAAGAUGAAAUUGGGAAGUCAUCUUGCUCCACUACCUUGAAAACGGUUCAAUAAAGUUCUGGAUGAAAAUUAAAACCUGCGUUUUCUUUUUCGUAUUUAAAAACUGAAGGAACUUUUUGGCCAACAUAAUAGCAAGGAUUCACCUCAGUCAUAAGCAGCCAGACGGCUCUGCAAAGAGCAGGCCCGCGAGUGACUACAGAGACCCCGUGCCCAGCUCAGCCCAGCCAGGGACGGUCUUGCUGCCACCUCCUGGCCGACGCA